UCAUCAGGUGGGAAAAUCCUUAACCACUCCUUUUGAUGAUGAUUGGAGUUUGCAUGAUAUGUGAUUAGCAUCUUUGUGUUAUCAGGACUCCCAACACCCUAAUUACUCAGACUUCUGAA
Fukomys damarensis (Damara mole-rat) is the source of this 119-nucleotide small nucleolar RNA. Its record names the gene U8. It matches the Rfam family "U8 small nucleolar RNA". From Rfam's summary of the family: U8 is a member of the C/D class of snoRNA which contain the C (UGAUGA) and D (CUGA) box motifs. U8 is the RNA component of a small complex (the U8 snoRNP) which is required for accumulation of mature large subunit ribosomal RNAs, 5.8S and 28S rRNAs. The record is from Ensembl. NCBI's taxonomy places the organism in Eukaryota, Metazoa, Chordata, Mammalia, Rodentia, Bathyergidae.